Lotus japonicus is the source of this 196-nucleotide small nuclear RNA. RefSeq annotates it as U2 spliceosomal RNA. The transcript has a single exon. The record is from RefSeq and is a predicted model, not a curated record. Lineage: Eukaryota; Viridiplantae; Streptophyta; Magnoliopsida; Fabales; Fabaceae.
AUACCUUUCUCGGCCUUUUGGCUAAGAUCAAGUGUAGUAUCUGUUCUUAUCAGUUUAAUAUCUGAUAUGUGGGUCAUAGGCCCACACGAUAUUAAAUUAAUUUUUUAAGGGGGAGGGUCUACUAAUGUAGCUUGCUACAUGGGCCUUCAUGUGUCGCCCAUGCCUUACACUGCUGCAAGGGUCUGGCACACCCCAC